This 488-nucleotide ribosomal RNA is filed under the name uncultured bacterium. RNAcentral's name for it is "bacterial SSU rRNA". It matches the Rfam family "Bacterial small subunit ribosomal RNA", at positions 903 to 1397 of the family's 1533-position model. The record is from RNAcentral.
AAAGGAAUUGACGGGCACCCGCACAAGCGGUGGAGCAUGCUGUUUAAUUCGAAGAUACGCGAAGAACCUUACCUAGACUUGACAUCCCCGGCAAAGACAUAGAAAUAUGUUGGAGGUUACCCGGGUGACAGGUGGUGCAUGGUUGUCGUCAGCUCGUGUCGUGAGAUGUUCGGUUAAGUCCGCUAACGAGCGCAACCCUUGUCCUUAGUUGCUAACAUUAAGUUGAGAACCCUAAGGAGACUGCCGGUGACAAACCGGAGGAAGGUGGGGAUGACGUCAAAUCAUCAUGCCCCUUACGUCUAGGGCUACAGGCGUGCUAUAAUGGCCGGUAUAAUGAGAUGCAAUAUCGUGAGAUGGAGCCAAACUCCAAAGCCGGUCUCAGUUCGGAUUGAAGUCUGCAACUCGACUUCAUGAAGCUAGAAUCGCUAGUAAUCCCGAAUCAGAAUGUCGGGGUGAAUACGUUCCCGGGUGUUGCACACACCGCCCGU